GGGCGGGAGGCGGGUGUGGUAGGAGGACCCGCAGCUUCCGUGCCUGAGAGGAGCCGGCCGAGGCCGUGUCUGUGGUGUCCCCGCGGCGGCAGCGGUGAGCGCGACCGUCCCAUCCUUCCCACCCGCUCAGCUCCGCUCGCUGCACGCCCUCCGCUCGCGCCGACUUAUCCAUAGCUCCGCGCGUCCCGGCUGGACGCUGAGCCUCGGGAGGAGACACGCGCGGUUGAGAGCCGGAGCGGGGACCGCCGCGGAGCCCGGGCCGGGAGGAGAGCUAGGCGUGAUCGAAGGGGUAUGAUUGGCAUGGAAUUGAAUUUCAUCUGUCUGUGGGAGUUGUAAACAAGGUUGCCAUCACGAAAGCCAAGGUGGAUUUCU
Molecule: long non-coding RNA, 372 nt
Organism: Capra hircus (goat)
Lineage: Eukaryota; Metazoa; Chordata; Mammalia; Artiodactyla; Bovidae
Exons: 3
Source: RefSeq, a predicted model, not a curated record